This 249-nucleotide long non-coding RNA is filed under the name Panax ginseng (ginseng). RNAcentral's name for it is "long non-coding RNA (PGIN_LNC017264)". Lineage: Eukaryota; Viridiplantae; Streptophyta; Magnoliopsida; Apiales; Araliaceae. The record is from RNAcentral.
AGCCUUGUGAUUUGAACCCCUUUUGGCUUACAUUUUGUAGUUUGAUCCUUAGGGUAUAGUUGAGCUAACCACUUGUGGGGGUACCACAUGCAUGUCCUCUUGACACAAGGGCAUGACACCUUCCGUGGCGGUGUGAUUAGUCCACGGCGUAUCCUUUUGUAUGCUCUGGGUAUGAGCUUUGGCCAUUUGAUAUAUUUGUUCAGGAUACGUAUGGGUCGACCCAGUAUUUGAUUUGAUUCGAUUUGUUUG